This is a long non-coding RNA of Columba livia (rock pigeon), 1690 nucleotides long. RefSeq lists it as uncharacterized. The record is from RefSeq and is a predicted model, not a curated record. Lineage: Eukaryota; Metazoa; Chordata; Aves; Columbiformes; Columbidae. The transcript has 3 exons.
UCUAGUUCUGCUUUUUAGAGCUAUCUCCUGGAUGUUCCUUAGACAUAUGUUGUAGGCUCAUCUCUAGCCACAUCUCCUGCUGCUUUUGAAUAUCCCAUGGAGACUCUAAUACUCUGGACAAAACUCCUGCUGAUUGCACUCCCAUCUCAGCAGUGGUGACCCAGAAACUGUGUGGAAGUCAAAUACCUGAAAGCGAAGAUAGAAGCCACUGAAGGCUGGGGAAGUUGUUGAUAAAAUGUCAUGAACGAGGAGUGGAGGAAAGCCAGCUCUAUCUGGAGCAGGAUGUCACACAGCUAUGAGGAGGUGUACCUAGGGUCAUCCAGCCAGGAUCUGGCAUUUUGUGCCCUUGGGGAUCUGUCAGACCAGAGCAACCAGGACAACAGCUUCUCCUUGGCUCAUGAAUUCAGAAGGACAAGAGAGGUGUCUGCAGUGAUUGGGUGGAGGUUGUGGAUUGGUGCUGAGGCGAGCAGCUUGCCUACUGGUAGCAUGUUAUCGUGGGCAGGUAUGCUGUACCCUUUCUACAAGUAUACUUUGUGGUUGAAGAAUGAGAAAGAUUUAGGGUAAGUGAAAAAAGGGAAAGUGUGAAUGUGAAGGAAAGUAGGAGCUGUGGAAGGGCCAGAGGUAGGGACCUGCCCACAGAGAUGAAGUUGUGUUGGUUAUUGUCUUCUGACGCUCAGCUGUUCUGGUGAUAAAAGAAAAAUGAUGAUCUCUGUCAGGAUGACAGUCUUGAGAAGAACAGAAAACCCUCGAAUGGGGCUGAGUGAGGAAAAGACCCCUUUUUUUAAUCUCUUUUCCCUUCCAACCAUGGUGAACAUGAGCAGCAGCAUAAGCCUACAAAACCAUGCCAGGUAUAUGGUAGACUUUAAAGCCAAAUGUUUACAACAAAUCUAAACAGUAUGACCGAAAUGAUGCUUGUGGGAGUCCUACACUCCAGGCAGACUUCCAGGCUGGGUGGGAAGUGAGCUGUAAUCUUGCCAGGUGAGUAUAAAGUGCAGAUGUGCCGACAUGAACCUCAGUGUUUUACCACGCCAAGAACUUAGCAGAACCUCAAACAGCUAUAGGGAAGGUUCUGUGUUUCACCAGCAACUACAGAAAGCUCUGUUCUGUGUGUAUACAUACACUUACAGGCAGCAACCGAUGGUUUCCUUCCACUGUGGCUGGCCAGACCUGAUUGCAUUUCAAAGCUCUCCACUUUGUGGCAGGAUCCUGAAGCAAAUUCUCUCCUCUUGCCCUUCUCCCCAAGUUAACUGCCCAGGAGUCUGACAGAGUUUUGCCUUGUGAUUUUGGUUCCUUUAAAAUCUUAUUAAAAUACUUUGUGGAGGUGGGUGUUCUCAUGUGGAAGGGGCAUCUCUAUUUGAUAGUCUGGUUAAAUCGGGCAUCAUCACUUGGGUGAGUCUGCCUGGAUGCUCACUUGGGGAUGUAAGACAGCAGCUUUUGUUUCCAAAUUUCUUUAUAUUUUGUGGAAUUGCUUUCAUCUGUGAGGCUUUAAAAUAACAUUGAUUUUAAAUGGUGGCAUUUUGCACUUAUUUUGUCCAAAUGUAAAUGUUUAGGCUGUUAGGCAGCAGAGACUCAGGCCUGGAAUGAAACUUUUUACUUAUCUGUUAUUAAAUAAAAUCCUCUGAGGAAAUAUGGUCAUAAUUUCAUCUGUCUCUAAAAUUUCCACUCUGCCUUUAAUCAUAUUUCCUGCAAU